CCUACGGGGGGCAGCAGUGGGGGAUAUUGCACAAUGGGGGAAACCCUGAUGCAGCGACGCCGCGUGGGCGAAGAAGUAUUUCGGUAUGUAAAGCCCUAUCAGCAGGGAAGAAGAAAUGACGGUGCCUGAGCAAGAAGCACUGUCUAAAUACGUGCCAGCAGCCGCGGUAAUACGUAGGGUGCAAGCGUUAUCCGGAUUUACUGGGUGUAAAGGGAGCGUAGGCGGCACGGUAAGCCUGAUGUGAAAGCCCGCGGCCCAACCGCGGGGCUGCGUUGGGAACUAGCGGGCUGGAGUGCCGGAGAGGUAGGCGGAAUUCCGAGUGUAGCGGUGAAAUGCGUAGAUAUUAGGAGGAACACCAGUGGCGAAGGCGGCCUACUGGACGGUGACUGACGCUGAGGCUCGAAAGCGUGGGGAGCAAACAGGAUUAGAUACCCGUGUAGUC
RNAcentral lists this ribosomal RNA (442 nucleotides) under uncultured bacterium. RNAcentral describes it as "partial 16S ribosomal RNA". It matches the Rfam family "Bacterial small subunit ribosomal RNA", at positions 338 to 795 of the family's 1533-position model. The record is from RNAcentral.